This 503-nucleotide ribosomal RNA is filed under the name uncultured bacterium. RNAcentral's name for it is "bacterial SSU rRNA". It matches the Rfam family "Bacterial small subunit ribosomal RNA", at positions 30 to 507 of the family's 1533-position model. The record is from RNAcentral.
AUUGAACGCUGGCGGCAUGCCUAACACAUGCAAGUCGAACGGUAACAGAUAAGAUGAUCUCUUCGGAGUGAAUUUUUGCUGACGAGUGGCGGACGGGUGAGUAAUGCUUGGGAAUCUGCCCAAUAGUGGGGGAAAACUCGGGGAAACCCGGGCUAAUACCGCAUAAUCUCUACGGAGGAAAGAGGGCCUCUACUUGUAAGCUCUUGCUAAUGGAUGAGCCCAAGUCAGAUUAGCUUGUUGGUAAGGUAAUGGCUUACCAAGGCUACGAUCUGUAGCUGGUCUGAGAGGAUGAUCAGCCACACUGGGACUGAGACACGGCCCAGACUCCUACGGGAGGCAGCAGUGGGGAAUAUUGCACAAUGGGCGCAAGCCUGAUGCAGCAAUGCCGCGUGUGUGAAGAAGGCUCUAGGGUUGUAAAGCACUUUCAAUAGGGAAGAAAAGUUUGAAGUUAAUAACUUCAAGCCUUGACGUAACCUAUACAAGAAGCACCGGCUAAUUCCGUG